GGAGGAGUACCCAAGUCUGGCUGAAGGGAUCGGUCUUGAAAACCGACAGGCGGGUUAAACCGCGCGGGGGUUCGAAUCCCUCCUCCUCCG
This is a transfer RNA of 90 nucleotides. It matches the Rfam family "tRNA". Rfam says of the family: Transfer RNA (tRNA) molecules are approximately 80 nucleotides in length. Their secondary structure includes four short double-helical elements and three loops (D, anti-codon, and T loops). The record is from Rfam.